GAGUUUGAUCCUGGCUCAGAGUGAACGCUGGCGGCGUGGAUUAGGCAUGCAAGUCGAGCGAUGUUGAGUUACGAGCAGUUGCCGAGCGCAAGCGAGGUGGCUGUGAGUAGUUCGGCAUAGCGGCAGACUGGUGAGUAACGCGUGAGUAAUUUACCUCUAAGCCGUGAAUAGCCUUGCGAAAGCAAGGGUAAAACACGAUGUGUUUACGAAGGCAUAAGUCUUUGUAUGUAAAAGUGGCUCGCAAGGGCUAUUGCUUAGAGAUGAGCUCGCGUCCUAUCAGCUAGUUGGUAGGGUAAUGGCCUACCAAGGCUUUUGACGGGUAGCUGGCCUGAGAGGGUGGUCAGCCACACGGGGACUGAGACACUGCCCCGACUCCUACGGGAGGCUGCAGUCGAGGAUCUUUAGCAAUGGGCGAAAGCCUGACUAUGCGACGCCGCGUGAGGGAUGAAGGUUUUCGGAUCGUAAACCUCUUUCGAUGGGGAAGAAUACCUCAGCAAUAACACUGCUGAGGGAUGACGGUACCUAGAGAAGAAGCCACGGCCAACUCCGUGCCAGCAGCCGCGGUAAUACGGGGGUGGCGAGCGUUACUCGGAUUCAUUGGGUGUAAAGGACAGGUAGGUGGCUAUGUAAGUUGGAGGUGAAAUCCUGCGGCUUAACCGCAGAACUGCCUUCAAAACUGUAUGGCUUGAGGCUAGAAGAGGAGAGUGGAAUUCCCGGUGUAAGGGUGAAAUCUGUAGAUAUCGGGAGGAACACCAGUGGCGAAAGCGGCUCUCUGGUCUAGUCCUGACACUGAUCUGUGAAAGCUAGGGGAGCAAACAGGAUUAGAUACCCUGGUAGUCCUAGCCGUAAACUAUGAGCACUAGGUGUUGGGGGUAACCCUUCAGCGCCGUAAGAUAACUCGUUAAGUGCUCCACCUGGGGACUACGACCGCAAGGUUAAAACUCAAAGGAAUUGACGGGGGCCCGCACAAGCGGUGGAACAUGUGGUUCAAUUCGACGCUACGCGAAGAACCUCACCAGGGCUUGACAUGCAGAG
RNAcentral lists this ribosomal RNA (1035 nucleotides) under uncultured bacterium. Its description in RNAcentral is "bacterial SSU rRNA". It matches the Rfam family "Bacterial small subunit ribosomal RNA", at positions 9 to 993 of the family's 1533-position model. The record is from RNAcentral.